GCUUCCCCCAUCCUUAAGUUGACCAGCAGGUUCUUGACUGCUGGCCAGCUGCAGUCUAGGCUCCCACUGAGUGGGGGACGGCAGUGGAGUUUCCCGCCGCUCCCCACCUGUGUCUGUGGCUGCUGGGGCUGCCGAGAUGGUCAGCAGGCCCCGGGAGGCUCCCACCUUGGGCUGAGCCGAAAGGUCUGCUCUGGGGCAGUCAGGAGAAGCGGAGACACGAGAGGGAGACACUCCGGGAGCAGCUCCUAGGCCACACCCACUCCAGGUCAGCCUCUGGGAGCAGCUUCUCCUAGGCCACACCCACUCCAGGUCAGCCUCUGGGAGCAGCUUCUCCUAGGCCACACCCACUCCAGGUCAGCUCUGGGAGCAGUUUCUAGGCCACACCCACUCCAGGUCAGCCUCUGGGAGCAACUUCUCCUAGGCCACACCCACUCCAGGUCAGCCUCCGCUCUGAAAGACCUCACGCCUGGCAUCUUUUAGGAUCACAUCAGAAAGCAUGGCAGCACUGGUUGUGUUCCAAUUGGUGACAAAUACCAUUCCCUUUGUAAUAGAUGAGGCUCAGCCAUUAUGAGAAAUAAACAUAGUCAGAAGAGUAAAAAAAAUUAUGAAAA
Molecule: long non-coding RNA, 611 nt
Organism: Antechinus flavipes (yellow-footed antechinus)
Lineage: Eukaryota; Metazoa; Chordata; Mammalia; Dasyuromorphia; Dasyuridae
Exons: 2
Source: RefSeq, a predicted model, not a curated record